This 460-nucleotide ribosomal RNA is filed under the name uncultured bacterium. Its description in RNAcentral is "partial 16S ribosomal RNA". It matches the Rfam family "Bacterial small subunit ribosomal RNA", at positions 338 to 795 of the family's 1533-position model. The record is from RNAcentral.
CCUACGGGAGGCAGCAGUGAGGAAUAUUGGUCAAUGGACGCAAGUCUGAACCAGCCAUGCCGCGUGCAGGAAGACGGCUCUAUGAGUUGUAAACUGCUUUUGUACGAGGGUAAACGCAGAUACGCGUAUCUGUCUGAAAGUAUCGUACGAAUAAGGAUCGGCUAACUCCGUGCCAGCAGCCGCGGUAAUACGGAGGAUUCAAGCGUUAUCCGGAUUUAGUGGGUUUAAAGGGUGCGUAGGCGGUCGGAUAAGUUAGAGGUGAAAUCCCGGGGCUCAACUUCGGAAUUGCCUCUGAUACUGUUCGGCUAGAGAGUAGUUGCGGUAGGCGGAAUGUAUGGUGUAGCGGUGAAAUGCUUAGAGAUCAUACAGAACACCGAUUGCGAAGGCAGCUUACCAAGCUACUUCUGACGUUGAGGCACGAAAGCGUGGGGAGCAAACAGGAUUAGAUACCCCAGUAGUC